CCUACGGGAGGCUGCAGUGGGGAAUAUUGCACAAUGGGGGGAACCCUGAAGCAGCGACGCCGCGUGAGGGAAGAAGGAUUUCGGUAUGGAAAGCUCUAUCAGCAGGGAAGAAAAUGACGGUACCUGACUAAGAAGCCCCGGCUAACUACGUGCCAGAAGACACGGUAAUGCGUAGGGGGCAAGCGUUAUCCGGAUUUAAUGGGUGUAAAGGGGGCGCAGACGGGUGUGCGAGACUGGAGUGAAAGGCGGGGGCCCAACCCCCGUACUGCUCUUGAAACUGGAAAGCUGGAGUGCAGGAGAGGUAAGCGGAAUGCCUAGUGUAGCGGUGAAAUGCGUAGAUAUUAGGAGGAACACCAGUGGCGAAGGCGGCUUACUGGACUGCAACUGACGUUGAGGCUCGAAAGCGUGGGUAGCAAACAGGAUUAGAUACCCGAGUAGUC
RNAcentral lists this ribosomal RNA (440 nucleotides) under uncultured bacterium. RNAcentral describes it as "partial 16S ribosomal RNA". It matches the Rfam family "Bacterial small subunit ribosomal RNA", at positions 338 to 795 of the family's 1533-position model. The record is from RNAcentral.